AAGGGCACCACAAGAACGCGUGGAGCAUGUGGCUUAAUUUGACUCAACGCGGGAAAUCUUACCGGGUCCGGACACACUGAGGAUUGACAGGCAAUAUCUAAAUCGUUUAUAAUUCUAAAUUAUAAUACGUAUUUAGUGUUAAAUAUGCUAGUCCUUUCAUGAUUAUGUGAUAGGUGGUGCAUGGCCGUUCUUAGUUCGUGGAGUGAUCUGUCUGCUUAAUUGCGUUUCACUAAGGGCCCAUAAAUUCAAGGUAUGCUAGCUAUCGUUUCCCAAUUGACCCCUUGUCUUCGAUAAGCGCGUGUCUUUUAGAGUUUAAACAUUGCGCAUGCUGUUGGGUCCUGAAAGCAACGAACGUGACCGCAACGUCUUAUUGCCUUUAUCUUGUUAUAUUCUAAUUUAAUUAGAAAUAACUAACAGAGGCUAAUUUAAAAUUAGACGGACCGCUGUACUUUUCUUAAACCAGAGGAAGGUUGCGGCAAUAACAGGUCUGUGAUGCCCUUAGAUGUUCCAGGCUGCACACGUGCUACAAUGAUCAGUACAGUGAGCAUCUCAAUAUUAUACACCGUAUUAAGCGCUUAGUUGCGAUUAUUGGCUCAUUAUUGGGUCUUUUAAUUGUAUUUCUAAUGCGCGCGGUAAAGCCUGCUUCGAGAGUAAGUGGGUAAUCCAUUGGAAGUAAUGAUUUCUCUUUUUAUAGCACACCUAUAUACGGCAUUCAUUCCCGGGACGACUAGUUUCGUCCUUUUUGUGCGAAUGUAAUGUAUUCUUUAUCCGUAUGUGCGAUUGUCAAUUCAUGGUGGGACAGACCAUUGUUAAUUGUUGGUCUCGGUCUUAACUAGGAAUGCCUUGUACGGGUCUUUGGUUCAACAAACCACCCGGAAUACGUCCCUGCCCUUUGUACACACCGCCCGUCGCUCUUACCGAUGAACUUCUUUGUGAGUCUAAGGGACUGGGUUAAUCUGUAAUUCUAUUAUGGAUAUACCUAUGGAAACUUAUACGAUCAAUGUGGUUUAAAGGAAAGAGAAGUCGUAACAAGGCAUCA
Molecule: ribosomal RNA, 1039 nt
Filed under: Neogloboquadrina dutertrei
Lineage: Eukaryota; Foraminifera; Rotaliida; Globorotaliidae
Description: bacterial SSU rRNA
Rfam family: Eukaryotic small subunit ribosomal RNA
Source: RNAcentral